This 72-nucleotide transfer RNA is filed under the name Cavia porcellus (domestic guinea pig). It matches the Rfam family "tRNA". Rfam says of the family: Transfer RNA (tRNA) molecules are approximately 80 nucleotides in length. Their secondary structure includes four short double-helical elements and three loops (D, anti-codon, and T loops). Lineage: Eukaryota; Metazoa; Chordata; Mammalia; Rodentia; Caviidae. The record is from Rfam by way of RNAcentral.
UGAGGUGUAGCUCAGUGAUACAGCAACUGUCUAGCAUGCACAAGGCCCUGGAUUUAAUCCCCAGCACUGCAA